GCCACGAUAACUCAAUGGGCAGAGUGCCACUCUUGUAAAGUGGACGUUGUGGGUUCGAAGCCUACUCGUGGCU
This 73-nucleotide transfer RNA is filed under the name Caudoviricetes sp. Its description in RNAcentral is "tRNA-Thr". It matches the Rfam family "tRNA". Rfam says of the family: Transfer RNA (tRNA) molecules are approximately 80 nucleotides in length. Their secondary structure includes four short double-helical elements and three loops (D, anti-codon, and T loops). The record is from RNAcentral. Lineage: Duplodnaviria; Heunggongvirae; Uroviricota; Caudoviricetes.